Molecule: ribosomal RNA, 1464 nt
Filed under: metagenome
Description: bacterial SSU rRNA
Rfam family: Bacterial small subunit ribosomal RNA
Source: RNAcentral
AGAGUUUGAUCCUGGCUCAGAACGAACGCUGGCGGCGUGCUUAACACAUGCAAGUUGAACGAGAGGCAGUAGCAAUACUGUAGUAAAGUAGCAGACGGGUGAGUAACACGUGGGAAACUUCCUUUUAGUUCGGAAUAGCCCAGGGAAACUUGGAUUAAUACCGGAUACGCCCUACGGGGGGAAAGAUUUAUCGCUAAAAGAUGUGCCCGCGUUAGAUUAGGUAGUUGGUGGGGUAAUGGCCUACCAAGCCUACGAUCUAUAGCUGGUCUGAGAGGAUGAUCAGCCACACUGGGACUGAGACACGGCCCAGACUCCUACGGGAGGCAGCAGUGGGGAAUAUUGGACAAUGGGCGCAAGCCUGAUCCAGCAACGCCGCGUGAAUGAUGAAGGCCUUCGGGUCGUAAAGUUCUUUUGGCAGGGAAGAAAAUGACGGUACCUGCAGAAUAAGCUCCGGCUAACUUCGUGCCAGCAGCCGCGGUAAUACGAAGGGGGCUAGCGUUGUUCGGAAUUACUGGGCGUAAAGUGUGCGUAGGUUGUUAUUCAAGUUAGUGGUGAAAGCCCAGAGCUCAACUCUGGAACUGCCAUUAAAACUGAAUAGCUAGAGAGUGUUAGAGGUGAGUGGAAUUUCUAGUGUAGGAGUGAAAUCCGUAGAUAUUAGAAGGAACAUCAAUGGCGAAGGCAGCUCACUGGGUCACAUCUGACACUGAGGCACGAAAGCGUGGGUAGCAAACAGGAUUAGAUACCCUGGUAGUCCACGCCCUAAACGAUGGAUGCUAGAUGUCGGGACAUUAGUUUCGGCGUCGUAGUUAACGCGUUAAGCAUCCCGCCUGGGGAGUACGGUCGCAAGAUUAAAACUCAAAGGAAUUGACGGGGAUCCGCACAAGCGGUGGAGCAUGUGGUUUAAUUCGAGGCAACGCGAAGAACCUUACCAGGACUUGACAUCCUUUCUAAACCCUUUGUAAUGAAGGGCUCGGUUCGGCCGGGGAAGAGACAGGUGCUGCAUGGCUGUCGUCAGCUCGUGUCGUGAGAUGUUGGGUUAAGUCCCGCAACGAGCGCAACCCUCAUCAUUAGUUACCAGCGAGUUAUGUCGGGGACUCUAAUGAAACUGCCUAUGACAAGUAGGAGGAAGGCGGGGAUGACGUCAAGUCAGCACGGCCCUUACGUCCUGGGCCACACACGUGCUACAAUGGUGGUGACAAUGGGCUGCAACCUGGCAACAGGAAGCUAAUCUCAAAAAACCAUCUCAGUUCGGAUUGUCCUCUGCAACUCGAGGGCAUGAAGCUGGAAUCGCUAGUAAUCGCAUAUCAGCAGGAUGCGGUGAAUACGUUCCCGGGUCUUGUACACACCGCCCGUCACACCAUGGGAGUUGGUUCUACCUUAAGUCGGCCCUUAGAAGCCGCCCACGGUAGGGUCAAUGACUGGGGUGAAGUCGUAACAAGGUAGCAGUAGGGGAACCUGCGGCUG